RNAcentral lists this non-coding RNA (29 nucleotides) under Mus musculus (house mouse). The record is from RNAcentral. Lineage: Eukaryota; Metazoa; Chordata; Mammalia; Rodentia; Muridae.
UGGAGAGUGACAAGGACUUGUACCUGACC